AGCUUUGCGCAGUGGCAGUAUCGUAGCCAAUGAGGUUUAUCCGAGGCGCGAUUAUUGCUAGUUGAAAACUUUACCCAAUACCCCGCCGUGACGACUUGAAAUAUAGUCGGCAUUGGCAAUUUUUGACAGUCUCUAAGGAGA
This is a small nuclear RNA of 141 nucleotides. Its record names the gene U4. It matches the Rfam family "U4 spliceosomal RNA". From Rfam's summary of the family: U4 small nuclear RNA (U4 snRNA) is a component of the major U2-dependent spliceosome. The structure of U4 snRNA from yeast and human has been reported. The record is from Ensembl.